RNAcentral lists this transfer RNA (87 nucleotides) under Alphaproteobacteria bacterium. Its description in RNAcentral is "tRNA-Leu". It matches the Rfam family "tRNA". From Rfam's summary of the family: Transfer RNA (tRNA) molecules are approximately 80 nucleotides in length. Their secondary structure includes four short double-helical elements and three loops (D, anti-codon, and T loops). Further hydrogen bonds mediate the characteristic L-shaped molecular structure. tRNAs have two regions of fundamental functional importance: the anti-codon, which is responsible for specific mRNA codon recognition, and the 3' end, to which the tRNAs corresponding amino acid is attached (by aminoacyl-tRNA synthetases). tRNAs cope with the degeneracy of the genetic code in two manners: having more than one tRNA (with a specific anti-codon) for a particular amino acid; and 'wobble' base-pairing, i.e. permitting non-standard base-pairing at the 3rd anti-codon position. The record is from RNAcentral. Lineage: Bacteria; Pseudomonadati; Pseudomonadota; Alphaproteobacteria.
GGGGGUGUGGUGGAACUGGUAGACACGCUGGACUCAAAAUCCAGUGGCAGCGAUGCCUUGCGAGUUCGAGUCUCGCCGCCCCUACCA